UUACAAUGGGGGGUACAGAGGGCCGCUACCACGCGAGUGGAUGCCAAUCCCUAAAACCCCUCUCAGUUCGGACUGGAGUCUGCAACCCGACUCCACGAAGCUGGAUUCGCUAGUAAUCGCGCAUCAGCCACGGCGCGGUGAAUACGUUCCCGGGCCUUGUACACACCGCCCGUCAAGCCAUGGGAGCCGGGGUACCUGAAGUGCGUAACCGCGAGGAUCGCCCUAGGGUAAAACUGGUGACUGGGGCUAAGUCGUAACAAGGUAUC
This 266-nucleotide ribosomal RNA is filed under the name uncultured bacterium. RNAcentral describes it as "partial 16S ribosomal RNA". It matches the Rfam family "Bacterial small subunit ribosomal RNA", at positions 1225 to 1500 of the family's 1533-position model. The record is from RNAcentral.